CUGACGCAGCUACGCCGCGUGCGGGAUGAAGGCUUCGGGUUGUAAACCCCUUUUGGCCGGGACGAUUAGUCCCGGCCUAACAGGUCGGAGUCUGGCCGUACCCGGCGAGCGAACCCCCGGUAAAUUUCUGCCCGCCAGCCCGGGAAUUAUUUAGGGGGCCGAGGUUUUUCGGAUUUCUUGGGCUUAAAGGGGGGUAAACGGCCUGGUUUAACCCGGGUUUAAUCCCCGGGGUCCACCCGGGGACAGCGUUUGAGAGUGGCGGGGAAUUAUGGGGUGGGGGGGAAGGGGAUUUCAGUUGUGGGGGGAAACAUAGGUGAAAAUUUGGGGGGAAUACCCCGUUGCCUGACUCUGAUUCUCGAACGUGUGGUGUGGCCUUAGGGGCUAAUAACCCC
This 392-nucleotide ribosomal RNA is filed under the name uncultured Rubrobacter sp. RNAcentral describes it as "partial 16S ribosomal RNA". It matches the Rfam family "Bacterial small subunit ribosomal RNA", at positions 383 to 788 of the family's 1533-position model. The record is from RNAcentral. Lineage: Bacteria; Bacillati; Actinomycetota; Rubrobacteria; Rubrobacterales; Rubrobacteraceae.